UCGGUAUAACUUGAUUUAUAAAUAUAUUUAUAUUUAUUCAUAGUAUUAAUAUUUAAUUUAUAAAAUAUUUAAUUGUUGUUGUAUUUAGUUAAGAUUUAAUUUUUUAUAUUAUAGUUUAUUUGUACCGUAAUGGAAUAUUGGAUUAUUUAUUAAUAUUUUAAUAAGUUGAUUUUUAUUAUUGUACCUUGUGUAUCAGGAUUUAUUAAAAAUAUUAUAUAUAUUUAUUUUUCUCGAUUUAAGGAGAGCUAUUUAUUUAUUUAAUUUAUUGUUAUAUAAAUAUUUAUAAUAUAUAGAUAGUAGUGAAAUAUUAAUCGUUCUUUAUUAUAUCUAGUUUUCUGAGAAAUGAAUUUAAUUCAUAUAUUUAAUAAUUAAUAAUUUAAUUUAUUAAAUGUUUUAUUAUUUAAUAUGAAUAAUUAGGGGGAUAAGUUUCUAAUUAAAAUAUUAUAAGUUAUUUCUUUAUUUGAGUUUAAUGGAUUUAAUAAUAAUUAUUAUUUAAAGUAUGUUAAUAUUUUACUUGUUUAUGAAUUUAUUAUAUUAACUUUGGUUUUAUUAUUAGAAAUUUUUAAUUAAUUAAUAAUUAGUUGAUAUUAUGAUAAAAUUAGUAUAUUUAUUUUUUAUAAUUUUUUUAUUAUAUAUUAAAUAAUAUAAAAGGAAUUAGGCAAUUAUUAUAUUCGCCUGUUUAACAAAAACAUCUUUUCUUGUAUUUAUUUGAAAUAUAACCUGCCCACUGAUUUGAUAUAUUUAAGGGCCGCGGUAAAUUGACCGUGCAAAGGUAGCAUAAUCAUUAGUCUUUUAAUUGUAGGCUGGAAUGAAUGGUUGGACGAGAUAUAUACUGUCUUUUAAUUAAAUUUGGAAUUUAAUUAUUAAGUAAAAAAGCUUAAAUUUUCUUAUGGGACGAGAAGACCCUAUAGAAUUUAAUAAUUUUUAAUUAUUACUUGGUUUAUAAAUAAUUUUUAAUUAAAAGUUAUUUUAUUGGGGUGAUAAAAAGAUAUAAUUAACUCUUUUUAUUGUAAAAUAUUUAUUUAUAGAUAAUUGAUCCAUUUAUAGUGAUUAUAAGAUUAAAUUACCUUAGGGAUAACAGCGUAAUUUUCUUUGAAAGUUCAUAUUGAUAAGAGAGAUUGCGACCUCGAUGUUGGAUUAAGAUAAAUAUUGGGUGUAGAAGUUUAAUUAAUUGGGUCUGUUCGACCUUUAAAAUCUUACAUGAUCUGAGUUCAAACCGGCGUGAGCCAGGUUGGUUUCUAUCUAUAAUCAUUUACAAUAUUUUAGUACGAAAGGACCAAUUAUUGGAAAUAAUUUUUUAUUAUGAUUAAUAUAAAUAUUAUACUAUUUUGGCAGAGAAGUGUGGUGGAUUUAGAAUCUAAGCAU
This 1365-nucleotide ribosomal RNA is filed under the name Parcoblatta fulvescens. RNAcentral describes it as "16S ribosomal RNA". The stretch from base 888 to 1248 matches the Rfam family "Archaeal large subunit ribosomal RNA", at positions 2150 to 2716 of the family's 2987-position model. The record is from RNAcentral. Lineage: Eukaryota; Metazoa; Arthropoda; Insecta; Blattodea; Blattellidae.